This is a long non-coding RNA of Gopherus flavomarginatus (Mexican gopher tortoise), 463 nucleotides long. RefSeq lists it as uncharacterized. The transcript is spliced from 3 exons. The record is from RefSeq and is a predicted model, not a curated record. Lineage: Eukaryota; Metazoa; Chordata; Testudines; Testudinidae.
ACAAAAGAGAAAACUACAAGAAGAAGGAGUUAUAGUUGACAGCACAUAUCAGUAAAUUUAGGCUUGAAUGAACUUUAUUUUGGAGGGAGAGCCUUCAGAAGAAUCCAUUUCAAAGGUUCACUGAAAUAUAAGAAAGAGGAGCAAACAAUACCAAGUUAUCUUUCACCCAGGAAGAUGAGGAGAAAUAGCACCCUGUACUUCUGUGGGAGGUCCUGAGUCAAAGACAGUCAGCCAUGCUGGACAAAGAGUGAUUGCUGGACUCCUUGGAACUAAGGCAUUUGGUUUCACAGACCGAGGAUAAUAGUCCUAGUGAAGUAUUAAAAUCUUGUGAAUGUAAGAGUUUUUGAUCACACUGUAUAUUAAGGAUAUAUUUCUGAAGCAUUAAUAAGUGAUUAAUAGGUGUUAUAAUCAUGUUACACGGAUCACGAUAAUGGUCAUAGAUGGUUAUAAGCAGCCAGGUGGA